GUAGUCUCGAGAUGCAUCGCCAAUGGAGGCGCAGAUGUAAGCCUCUUGGAAAAGAGCAUCAACGAGGGUGAGAGUCCCGUUUGUCAUCUGCAGUCCCCCAUGCACGGCGUGCCUUCUAAGAGUCGCGUUCCUCGGAAUUGGAGCGUAAAUUGGGUGGUAAAUUUCAUCUCAAGCUAAAUAUUGGUUCGAGACCGAUAGCAAACAAGUACCAUGAGGGAAAGGUGAAAAGGACUUUGAAAAGAGAGUUAAAAGUGCCUGAAAUUGCUGAAAGGGAAGCGAAUGGAACCAGUGUUGCUUGGCGAGAUUGUCAUACGCAUUCGCGUGUGGUGGUUCUUGCCUUGUGUGUCAACGCCAGUUCGCGAUCGAGGAAAACUCUUGGGACAUGGUAGCCUGUCUUCGGGCGGGUGAAUGUGCCUUGUAGAACUCAUUUGCGGACUGAUUACUUCGUGUCUGGUUGCAGCGCUUCUUGUCGCUUGGACGUGCUUGGG
This 488-nucleotide ribosomal RNA is filed under the name Tryblionella compressa. RNAcentral describes it as "LSU rRNA". It matches the Rfam family "Eukaryotic large subunit ribosomal RNA", at positions 145 to 638 of the family's 3401-position model. The record is from RNAcentral. Lineage: Eukaryota; Bacillariophyta; Bacillariophyceae; Bacillariales; Bacillariaceae.